RNAcentral lists this ribosomal RNA (232 nucleotides) under uncultured bacterium. RNAcentral describes it as "partial 16S ribosomal RNA". It matches the Rfam family "Bacterial small subunit ribosomal RNA", at positions 15 to 235 of the family's 1533-position model. The record is from RNAcentral.
GAUCCUGGGCUCAGGAUGAACGCUAGCUACAGGCUUAACACAUGCAAGUCGAGGGGCAGCAUGGUCUUAGCUUGCUAAGGCUGAUGGCGACCGGCGCACGGGUGAGUAACACGUAUCCAACCUGCCGUCUACUCUUGGCCAGCCUUCUGAAAGGAAGAUUAAUCCAGGAUGGGAUCAUGAGUUCACAUGUCCGCAUGAUUAAAGGUAUUUUCCGGUAGACGAUGGGGAUGCG